This 498-nucleotide ribosomal RNA is filed under the name uncultured bacterium. Its description in RNAcentral is "partial 16S ribosomal RNA". It matches the Rfam family "Bacterial small subunit ribosomal RNA", at positions 30 to 523 of the family's 1533-position model. The record is from RNAcentral.
AUUGAACGCUGGCGGCAUGCCUUACACAUGCAAGUCGAACGGUAACAGGUCUUCGGAUGCUGACGAGUGGCGAACGGGUGAGUAAUACAUCGGAACGUGCCUAGUAGGGGGGGAUAACUACUCGAAAGGGUGGCUAAUACCGCAUGGGAUCUACGGAUGAAAGCAGGGGAUCGCAAGCCCUUGUGCUACUCGAGCGGCCGAUGGCAGAUUAGGUAGUUGGGGGGAUAAAAGCUUACCAAGCCGACGAUCUGUAGCUGGUCUGAGAGGACGAUCAGCCACACUGGGACUGAGACACGGCCCAGACUCCUACGGGAGGCAGCAGUGGGGAAUUUUGGACAAUGGGCGAAAGCCUGAUCCAGCGAUGCCGCGUGCAGGAUGAAGGCCUUCGGGUUGUAAACUGCUUUUGUACGGAACGAAAAGCCCCGGGUUACUACCCUGGGGUCAUGACGGUACCGUAAGAAUAAGCACCGGCUAACUACGUGCCAGCCGCCGCAGUAA